GUCCACGCCGUAAACGAUGGGUGCUAGGUGUGGGGGUGUCGACUCCCUCCGUGCCGAAGCUAACGCAUUAAGCACCCCGCCUGGGGGAGUACGGCCGCAAGGCUAAAACUCAAAGGAAUUGACGGGGCCCGCACAAGCAGCGGAGCAUGUGGUUUAAUUCGACGCAACGCGAAGAACCUUACCUGGGCUAGAAUGUGCUUUGAAAGGGGGUGAAAGCCCUCCGGUCGCAAGAACAGAGUGCAAGGUGCUGCAUGGCUGUCGU
Molecule: ribosomal RNA, 262 nt
Filed under: uncultured bacterium
Lineage: Bacteria
Description: partial 16S ribosomal RNA
Rfam family: Bacterial small subunit ribosomal RNA
Source: RNAcentral